Molecule: ribosomal RNA, 526 nt
Filed under: Piaractus brachypomus (pirapitinga)
Lineage: Eukaryota; Metazoa; Chordata; Actinopteri; Characiformes; Serrasalmidae
Description: partial large subunit ribosomal RNA
Rfam family: Bacterial large subunit ribosomal RNA
Source: RNAcentral
GGAGGUCCUGCCUGCCCAGUGACAACUAGUUAAACGGCCGCGGUAUUUUGACCGUGCUAAGGUAGCGCAAUCACUUGUCUUUUAAAUGAGGACCUGUAUGAAUGGCGGAACGAGGGCUUAACUGUCUCCUUUUCCUAGUCAAUGAAAUUGAUCUGCCCGUGCAGAAGCGGGUAUACUAAUACAAGACGAGAAGACCCUUUGGAGCUUAAGAUAAAAGGCCAACUAUGUCAAAGGCCCAAAUAAAACCAAGCCAAACAAAACAGCCAACUGGCCAAUAUCUUCGGUUGGGGCGACCGCGGGGGAAAACAAAGCCCCCACGUGGAACGGGGAAUAUACCCUAAAACCAAGAGAGACAUCUCUAAGUCACAGAACAUCUGACCAAAAGAUCCGGCCAACCAAGCCGAUCAACGGACCAAGUUACCCUAGGGAUAACAGCGCAAUCCCCUCCAAGAGUCCAUAUCGACAAGGGGGUUUACGACCUCGAUGUUGGAUCAGGACAUCCUAAUGGUGCAGCCGCUAUUAAGGA